RNAcentral lists this ribosomal RNA (305 nucleotides) under uncultured bacterium. RNAcentral's name for it is "bacterial SSU rRNA". It matches the Rfam family "Bacterial small subunit ribosomal RNA", at positions 333 to 636 of the family's 1533-position model. The record is from RNAcentral.
UGAGGCCUACGGGGGGCAGCAGUGAGGAAUAUUGGUCAAUGGGCGGGAGCCUGAACCAGCCAAGCCGCGUGAGGGAAGAAGGUACAGCGUAUCGUAAACCUCUUUUGUCAGGGAACAAAGGCGGGGACUAGUCCCCGGAUGAGGGUACCUGAAGAAAAAGCAUCGGCUAACUCCGUGCCAGCAGCCGCGGUAAUACGGAGGAUGCGAGCGUUAUCCGGAUUUAUUGGGUUUAAAGGGUGCGUAGGCGGGACGGUAAGUCAGCGGUAAAAAUGCGGAGCUCAACUCCGUCGAGCCGUUGAAACUGU